GGUCAAUGUCAUUCCGGUUCAGGGUCAGUGGCUCUACCGAUUUCAACAUGGCAGUAAUGGCAACAUCAUCUUCAUUUUCAGUUAAGAAGCCAGAGGAGAUGACACCUUCGAAGCGUGCAUGAGCGUGUCACGGCCCGGCCUUGCAGGACCAUUCUUUCUCAGUCCAGGGGUGGCUGCUUUCUCUUAUCUCACGCUAGCAGCCCCUUUGUUCUCUGCAGCCUGUCUCCCCACCCAAACUCAACUCCCCCCAACCAGCUGCGGCCAGGAGGCCCAACGGCUGAGCUUCGAAAGUGACCCCUACUUGAGACAUAUAAGACAGCGGUGUUUCCAGACACAACCUGCAACUUCCCCCAGGGUUCUCAAAGCUCAGACAGAGCUGGACGUCCAACAUACGGAGGGGCUCCAGAAGUCCCAGAGUGUGGCUCUCUCCCGGCCUCCACCAAGGCUCCCGCUUCGCCUCAGAGGUGGGAGCCGUGCUUUCUUCCCUGAUCUGCUCUCUGCCCACGGCACUGGUCAGCAAAUUAUCUCCACUCUGCAGAACACAAGGCAGCCAUCCCAUACCAGCUGCAUCGACAAGACGUGCUCUUGAGCGAUCACCUUACGAUGCCGACAGUUGUGUAGGAAACACACGGCAAAAGAAAAAACUACCAAAAAUUUGUACAUAAACUCUACUUAUGACCAUCCAAGAUGUGGACUAAUCGAGACAAGCACAAAGAAAAUACUUAAAUAAAAUCAGGUUUAUUUGGAUCAUGAUCUUUUCCUUUUUAAAUAUUUUAUGGUGGCCAUGACUUUACACUUAACAUUUUUAAAAAAAAAUAUAUGUCACAUACUAUAGACUGAAUAUUUGUGCCCCUACCCUGAAUUUCUAGACUGAAAUCCAAUCCCCAACAUAAUGGUACCUGGAAGCAGGACCCUUCAGGUCCUGAUGGGAGAACCCCCCUACGUAGGCUGUAACUACAGUGUCUGUGGAAGGAGGAUCCAGAGGGCUGACUCACUCUCUCUCCAGGGCUCUGAUGCAAUGAGAAGUCAGCUGUCUGCAAGCUGGAAAAGAACUCUAAACAAGCCCCCAUGCUGGUACUCUAAUGUUAGACUCCCAUUCUUCAAAAAUAGUUACAAGUAAAUGCCUAUCCUUUGUAAGCCACUAAGCCCAUAGUACUUUGUUAUAGC
Molecule: long non-coding RNA, 1167 nt
Filed under: Chinchilla lanigera (long-tailed chinchilla)
Lineage: Eukaryota; Metazoa; Chordata; Mammalia; Rodentia; Chinchillidae
Description: lncRNA (ENSCLAG00000028372.1)
Source: RNAcentral